This 433-nucleotide ribosomal RNA is filed under the name uncultured bacterium. RNAcentral's name for it is "partial 16S ribosomal RNA". It matches the Rfam family "Bacterial small subunit ribosomal RNA", at positions 29 to 507 of the family's 1533-position model. The record is from RNAcentral.
AACGAACGCUGGCGGCAUGCCUAACACAUGCAAGUCGAACGAGACCUUCGGGUCUAGUGGCGCACGGGUGCGUAACGCGUGGGAACCUGCCUUUAGGUUCGGAAUAACUCAGAGAAAUUUGAGCUAAUACCGGAUGAUGUCUUCGGACCAAAGAUUUAUCGCCUUUAGAUGGGCCCGCGUUGGAUUAGCUAGUUGGUGGGGUAAAGGCCUACCAGGGCGACGAUCCAUAGCUGGUCUGAGAGGAUGAUCAGCCACACUGGGACUGAGACACGGCCCAGACUCCUACGGGAGGCAGCAGUGGGGAAUAUUGGACAAUGGGCGAAAGCCUGAUCCAGCAAUGCCGCGUGAGUGAUGAAGGCCUUAGGGUUGUAAAGCUCUUUUACCCGAGAUGAUAACGACAGUAUCGGGAGAAUAAGCUCCGGCUAACUCCGUG